RNAcentral lists this ribosomal RNA (257 nucleotides) under uncultured bacterium. Its description in RNAcentral is "partial 16S ribosomal RNA". It matches the Rfam family "Bacterial small subunit ribosomal RNA", at positions 524 to 777 of the family's 1533-position model. The record is from RNAcentral.
UACGAAGGGUGCAAGCGUUGUUCGGAAUUAUUGGGCGUAAAGCGAGCGCAGGCGGAUUUGUGUGUCAGGUGUGAAAUCUCGGGGCUCAACCCCGAAAGUGCGCCUGAAACUGCAUAUCUAGAAUACUGGAGGGGGAUGGGGAAUUUCUUGUGUAGGAGUAAAAAUCCGUUAGAGAUAAGAAAGGAACACCGGUGGCGAAGGCGCCAUCCUGGACAGUUAUUGACGCUGAGGCUCGAAAGCGUGGGGAGCAAACAGGG